GCGUGAUCCGUACUCCCUACUAACUUAUUGUGGGGAAGGCCAUUGCGUCUGCGACCACACUCCCGCGGUACCCAAACCCUUCAAAGACAACUCCGAUCAGCCAUUUGGCUGUUAGUGGGAGGGCGGGUGGGCCGCUCGCACGGCAAUCGAGUAGAGAGUACGAAAUAACCUAAUGCAGUCAUCGUCAACAGAAAACGUAAGCCUCCAGCCUCACGCCGACUCUCUUACCUACCAUUCAUAUUUUCUACCUCGUUCACAAGACUCCGCCGCGUUGCCUCUAGUUCGGCUCGUGCCACAGGUAACUUCGCUCGUCGCUACUUUGCCAUUCACCUUCGCCUCCACCCAGCCUCUGCUUCUCCACAGAAGCGGCGACCUCCUUCGCCGUUGUUACGCCUCGUCUAUGCGACUCCUCAUCAUCCGGCUGGGUCUUCUGCCUACCCGGUGCGCGCCCCCUCCCUCUGCGCAUCCGUUUCUCCGGCCCUCUCUUACGGUUGCCUACCUUACUGCAGGACUCGCCCCUUGCCUGUCCUGUGCCGGGUAGGCUUUCCUUGCCUCCCCCGGCCCUACUUGGGGCGCCCCUCUCUGGCUCGUCAACUACCUUACUUCCGUCCGUCCCUGCCCCUCGGGGGCCCAACCCCUCCGCCCUUUCUGUGGGCCCGAUGCCCGCUCUGGACUUGUCUCACGCCCCCGGCCUCUCUGAUGCUGCCCCNNNNNNNNNNNNNNNNNNNNNNNNNNNNNNNNNNNNNNNNNNNNNNNNNNCACCUAGGCUCUGAUACCAAUUGGAAGGGAACCAGGCCGCUCCUAACAACUGGGAAGCGUAAGCUGACUUUACUGGCCGAUAUACUUGCGUAAGCACAGAAGAUCGGGCUUUCAACUUCAACUUAGACUUACAAUGUUCAUAAAAUGGUCCGCUUAAAUAGUCAUAAUAGCGCGCCAUUGUCUCACACGGAGAACCACAGGAUCAAGCUCCACUAGCUCCGAAGUUUCGACAUGGUCUCAGAAGCGCGCGCUAACGAACUGCAAAACCUUACAGUACCAAAGCUGUCAAUAGUGAGAACGUGAAAUCUGUUGUUGCGCAGCUGGUACUACAGAAGAAGUUUCCUGCGUGGUUCGUACCUACUCUUGGGCACCGACGGAAGGGGGAGGGACUUCACGUUAAGCACGCGGGUCGGUCGGUCUCCUUCCGCACGAAGAAUGAGGCAGAUGGUUACACUCAGCCAGCGUGCAAGUAUCGUUUCGCCGUCCUGUUCGUGUGCGGACAGACACGCGACGGCAGCAAUGGCAGGUGCGAGGGGGUAUAGAACUGGAGGUCCAGGCCGGACAGGUCAGGCAAGUGUAGUAUCGGUAGGUGUCCAUGGGCAUUGCGUGCAUUCGGGCAGAAGUGUGUAUGCAGUUAUACAUAGUGCAUCUUUUCAUUGAAUGUGUUGUGCCAUUCUCCUGACGGCCCCAUGUGCAUUUCCAAGCAUGCUCUGAUCGCGAAUCUUUGAAAGUGGUUUAGGACACGCUGUGCUUUGUCGCAACUUAUAUGAAGACGACUGGAGAGUUGAACAUUGAACAAAUGAAUGCAUGUACGUCAUUUCCCUCGGCUCUUGCAGGUGUGGUGCCGUGGCAGUAGUGGGACAGCUCUGGACAAACAAGGAUGACGAGAUGCAUGGCAAUCGAGUAGAGAGUACGAAAUAACCUAAUGCAGUCAUCGUCAACAGAAAACGUAAGCCUCCAGCCUCACGCCGACUCUCUUACCUACCAUUCAUAUUUUCUACCUCGUUCACAAGACUCCGCCGCGUUGCCUCUAGUUCGGCUCGUGCCACAGGUAACUUCGCUCGUCGCUACUUUGCCAUUCACCUUCGCCUCCACCCAGCCUCUGCUUCUCCACAGAAGCGGCGACCUCCUUCGCCGUUGUUACGCCUCGUCUAUGCGACUCCUCAUCAUCCGGCUGGGUCUUCUGCCUACCCGGUGCGCGCCCCCUCCCUCUGCGCAUCCGUUUCUCCGGCCCUCUCUUACGGUUGCCUACCUUACUGCAGGACUCGCCCCUUGCCUGUCCUGUGCCGGGUAGGCUUUCCUUGCCUCCCCCGGCCCUACUUGGGGCGCCCCUCUCUGGCUCGUCAACUACCUUACUUCCGUCCGUCCCUGCCCCUCGGGGGCCCAACCCCUCCGCCCUUUCUGUGGGCCCGAUGCCCGC
This 2179-nucleotide long non-coding RNA is filed under the name Volvox carteri. RNAcentral describes it as "long non-coding RNA (VCAR_LNC000030)". Lineage: Eukaryota; Viridiplantae; Chlorophyta; Chlorophyceae; Chlamydomonadales; Volvocaceae. The record is from RNAcentral.